Molecule: long non-coding RNA, 888 nt
Organism: Dioscorea cayenensis subsp. rotundata (Guinea yam)
Lineage: Eukaryota; Viridiplantae; Streptophyta; Magnoliopsida; Dioscoreales; Dioscoreaceae
Exons: 3
Source: RefSeq, a predicted model, not a curated record
UUUUUGGUAGCGAGCCUUAGUUCGCGGGACUGGGUGGACCCAACUCUGUAGCUUGGAGCCAGGAGAAGAUCAAGGCUAGGAUCGGGGGGGUGUCUGGGAGUCGUAUUGCCUACUCUAUUAGUAUUUCUUUAUUACCCUUUUCCUGUGAGUGUAAGACUUGUACUCUGACUGUAUCUGUGUUUUGGAAACUGUUGGGGUGUAUUUGAAUUCUGUAGGGCUUCUAAAGCCUAUACUUGUAGUAUUUCAGUUUCUGGUAUUCCAUUUGUGCUUUUUGUUUUAUAUUUUUAUCAGUUUGUUAGGGUUGACUCUGACCAGGUCAAAUCUGAGGCCUUGCACCCAGUGGGACCCAGUCCCAAUGGAUGUGGCCGAUCUGUCCAUGGGCCCGGCUGUGAGGCUGGGACGUGACAGCUAACUUGGGAGUUCUUGGUUGAGUUCUCUGGUGAUCUCCUUGUGGCUAUUUCUAGACUUAAUAGUGGACACGAGUAUGAGUUCUUGAAAGUGGAUUUUGAGAAUGGAUUGCUCCAGAUUUUGCCUGAGAUCGGCGAACAUGUGCUUUUCUUGGGAGAUAGUCUCCCGGUGUUCGUUCCACCAGAGAGAUUGUUGGAUUUCCAUCCUUUUCUCUGUUACCUCCCUGAAAACGUUGAUGCAUUCUCUGUCUAUGAUAGUUCUCAUCAUGGGCGUAUUAUGUCCAUCAUAAGGAAGGAUCAUGGUCAACAUAGGGUAGCCGCUGGUUGGAUUACUCCAGUUCUGAAUAAGUCUUUGGAAUGAGGUUGUUGAGGGAUACAUAAAAUGGUUACUUCUUUAAUUGAGUGAUGAUCAUCUUGAGCGGCUAAAGAUUCUCAAGGCUCUGUUUCUUAAAGAUAGUCCUGCUGGAUGGGUUGUAUAUAU